GUGACGGUACCUACANAAGAAGCACCGGCUAACUAUGUGCCAGCAGCCGCGGUAAUACAUAGGGUGCAAGCGUUGUCCGGAAUUAUUGGGCGUAAAGAGCUCGUAGGUNGUUUGUYACGUCGGAUGUGAAAACCUGAGGCUCAACCUNNGGCCUGCAUUCGAUACGGGCAAACUAGAGUUUGGUAGGGGAGACNGGAAUUCCUGGUGUAGCGGUGGAAUGCGCAGAUAUCAGGAGGAACACCAAUGGCGAAGGCAGGUCUCUGGGCCAAUACUGACACUGAGGAGCGAAAGUCUGGGGAGCGAACAGGAUUAGAUACCCUGGUAGUCCAGACCGUAAACGGUGGGCACUAGUUGUGGGAACCUUCCACGGUUUCUGCGACGCAGCUAACGCAUUAAGUGCCCCGCCUGGGGAGUACGAUCGCAAGAUUAAAACUCAAAUGAAUUGACG
Molecule: ribosomal RNA, 448 nt
Filed under: uncultured bacterium
Lineage: Bacteria
Description: bacterial SSU rRNA
Rfam family: Bacterial small subunit ribosomal RNA
Source: RNAcentral